UACAGAGGGGGCAAGCGUUGUCCGGAAUUACUGGGCGUAAAGGGCGCGUAGGCGGUUUCGUAAGUCCUGUGUGAAAUCCCCCGGCUCAACUGGGGAACUGCACAGGAAACUGCGAGGCUUGAGUUCGGGAGAGGGAAGCGGAAUUCCGGGUGUAGCGGUGAAAUGCGUAGAUAUUCGGAGGAACACCAGUGGCGAAGGCGGCUCACUGGCUCGGUACUGACGCUGAGGUGCGAAAGCGUGGGGAGCAAACAGGG
This 254-nucleotide ribosomal RNA is filed under the name uncultured bacterium. Its description in RNAcentral is "partial 16S ribosomal RNA". It matches the Rfam family "Bacterial small subunit ribosomal RNA", at positions 524 to 777 of the family's 1533-position model. The record is from RNAcentral.